Parus major (Great Tit) is the source of this 12789-nucleotide long non-coding RNA. RefSeq lists it as uncharacterized. Lineage: Eukaryota; Metazoa; Chordata; Aves; Passeriformes; Paridae. The record is from RefSeq and is a predicted model, not a curated record. The transcript has 2 exons.
GCGGUGGAAGACCCAACUCCGAGCGCCGGUAUCGCGUCAGGAAUGAAUAAAUACGAUGGCUUCUGGCUUCCAUGUGGCGGAGCUUGUCCCUGCGAUGUGUCUCUGCGUGCUGUCAGCUGCUGAGAGUCAAGUGAUAAGCGCACCUUUUGUUAAUUCUUUCUUUUUUUUUUUCCUUUUUUUGCACAUAGAGCAACCAUCAACGCCUUUCUUUUUAUUUAUUUUAAUUCAUAAUUUUACUUCAUUAGCGAUGUAAAAUGGAUUGUUGCAAUACAUCAGCAUUCUGAGAGGACUGUGUGGUAACUUAUGUGUAUGGCUGUAGAGGGUACCUGAAAUUCCAGGAGGAAUAUGCAAGAACAGAAACGAACAAAUGUGCGUACAAUCCGAUUUUAGAAAAGCAUUGAUCCAUUCUUAGAAUGGAAGAUGAAGCAAAGUAUACAUGUGCCUUGAGUAGCAUUAUAAAUAAUCAAAUGUAUGAAUAAUUGGGUUAAUAACCAGGAUUUAACUGCUUUCUUCUUCUAGAAGGAUAAGGGAAGACUUCAAGAGAAAAGUGUUGUUCUCUAAAAGAUAUCAUAAAUGCUAAUUUCAUUACAUCAGCUGCUUGAAUGCUGUAACUCAUGCAGAAGUUUUUUUAUUAGGCAGAAACUAUGUUUUGCAGUGUACUGUACCGAAGUAUUAUGAACUCUGGAAUAGUUUAUUCAUAGCAAGAUAGUAUUUGGCAGACUAGGUUAAGAUAUUGGUCCAUCAAGCUAAUUAUUCUGCCACCAGCAGCAUCCUUUUCCUGAUGCUUUCGUCAGGAGUGGUGUCAGAUGAAAUGAAGUAAAUCAUGAUGUCGGACUGAUAUCACGUAAGUGUUACUAACUGAAAAUUUUGACAUAUUGUGAUAACUAGGAGAGCAUUUUGUAGGGAAAAAAAAACUCAACAACACUGCUUAUCUGUAAAAAUAAUUUAGUUUUGAUAGGAAGGAUUUUCUGGAAUAGGUGUGGUAACAUACAGAUUGGUGUCUAUGUGCUUAUUUUGAUGAGCAAGUCAAAGCUAGAAAUGAGCUAUACUGAACUGGCUAAUUCUCUCCUUUCUCCUCUGUGAAGCUAAAGGAUCAGCCUACAAGUAAUAAUGCUCUCUUGCACUGUGGGAGGAUUGUAACUGCUUUGGUGUCCAUCACAAUGAAUGAAUUUCUGGGGAUGUAGGGAGGAUGAAGCAGGACUGUGUGUACAGCCUCAUUAUUAAGAAAACCAGGUUAUCCACUCUCUGUUACUAGAAUUUUCAGCAGUUCCAUAGUUUCCAGCCUCAUGCUAUGUCUUCAAAACUACUAACUUGCCAGAGUCUGAUCCUACAAAAUAAUGAACAAUUUCUGGAGGUUCUUAAUGUUCUUAUCUUCUGUUUAGAGCAGGGAACUCUCAGCACCCACAAAAAUUCUUAGUGUUUAAGAGCAGCAUGGAUUAUUAGGAUUAUCUGAUAUGCUGCCAUACAUGACAAAUGAUGGAACUUCAUACUGGGACAACAUGUCUUACUUUAAAUUGCUCUGUAUCUGUCAGAUUGGUGACCUGCUCACAAAAGGUCAGCAGUUGUCCAAACCCAGAGCAAUGUUUGUCAGAGGCUCUAGCAGAGAAUGCUUACCACAAGUAAGGUACAAAACCUAACAGGGACAGGAGGAAUGACUACCUAUGAAGAUAGAGUUUUUCAGAAAUUGUGUUUAUAAGCAAGUAAUCUUUUUCAUAGUCACAGUAAAAUUGCUCUAUCAGUCUUUGUCCUUGGAAAUCCUGAAGUGGCAAUUACUUUGGACAUCGAGUAAACAAGCAGUACAGGAAGAUACUUAUGCCAAGGACAGGUAGAAGAAAUUGGAUGCAAAUAUUUGCACUUCAGAUCUCAUUCAGCCAGGAGGAAGGUUUCUAGAAAUUACACAGAUUCUGGAGUGAGAUGUCUAUUUGCAUUUUAAAGAAAACAAACAAACAAAAAAAAAGCGCAAAACCUUAAGUAAUGUCAAGCAUAUAGAUUUUUUUUAAAUUAUUGUUUCAUUAGGUCAAAAACCUAAAAGUUUAAUGGUCCUAUUAUUUAAAAAUUUUGUAAACCAGAUGUUUAAUUUUUUGAAUAGGAACACAUAAAUUUUGAGAUGAUGUUAAAGAAUUGUAAAAUUACAGUGAUGUAAAAUUAUAACAUGAGUAUUUGGUCUCAUUUUUUCCUUUCUGGAACAAAAAACAAAGGCAUAACAGUUCAGAACUUCAAAAAAAUUACAAUGUUUUUAUUCCACCAGAACAUCAGUAAAUAAAAUUGUAAUAAGUCUUCUCAUGAGACCUUGUACACUUACAGAUUAUCUUGUUUUUGUUUAAAAGAAUAAAAUUACUUCCAGUUUUACCAUUUUGUGUGAAAGGGAGAUGUAAGGCCCACAAGUAUUCAAACUUAGUGCAUGAAGUUCAUCUCCCAUUUAACACCAAUGAAGUCCUUUUUACAUUCUUACAGUUGCUUCAUUGUUCUAGCUGAAUUCAACCACUAUGAGGUCUUUUGGGAAAAAAAGACAGUGCUUUGUUCAGGAGGCGACUGAAAAGUGCAUUACUACUUUAAAUAGUGCAUUAUGUGCCAGUUGAAAUAGAAGCUAGAAUAUUCCUGAAAACCAGGAGGUUUAUUUGUCCCCAUUCCUGCACACAUGCUCCUGUGGCUAAUGGGCAUUUUGAAUACCUAGUGAGGUAGAUGCUGCUGUGGCACACUCAAGAUGUGGGAUAUGCACCAAGAAAGCAGAGUUCUCUGUUGUGUUCUGUUAUGUAGAGUUGAUGAAAUAGCUACUUUUCAUGAGAUCAACCAUUCAGGGUGUUGCCACAGCAAACAGAAAGUCAGAUCUGAUUUAGCAGGCUGGCUGGAUUGUGCUAACUGAUCCACAGAAAGUUGUGACUCUGUGAAUUGCUUCUCUUUUAAAUGCUAAAUUGUACAACUUGUUGAAAGUGUCAGAGCAUGGAGAGCAAGACCAAAAGUCUGAAGCAAGUCCUAACCCUUAAGAUUCUCAUUGCCAUGUGCUGCUGCAAUGAGUACAGCACUAUUGCAGAGUCUGUCAUGGUUUGUAGUAGGAAAAGACAUUUAGGCAAGAAAUAAGUGAAAUUUAAUCUACUCCGGAAAAAUAAAUUCCCAGUUCUUGAGCAUGAAGUAGAAGCUCUGUUACAUAUGCUGUCCACAAUGGGCAGUAAAUUAAAAUUUAAUGGAGAUUUCCUCUGCAAGUUACAGGGAAAAAACAAACAAGCAAACAACAACAAAAAAAAAAGUAAAAUCAACAAAACCCAAGAAAGAGCAAGAUUCAGAUUGCCUGGGAUUAUAGGAACUGGAAGAAAAAUAAAGAGUGGUAAACUGAAUGCCUUUAAAUAACCAGAAAACAUCAUGAAAACCUAAAACUUUAAGAAUGCAAAGGAAAUUUGAUUAUUAAUUCAGAAAUUACUUCUUUUGGAGUUCAGACAAUAAUUUAGAUUUGAAAUAGUUAACACAGAUUGUUCUGUGUUAAUUUCAUUUUCAUGUUGGUUUCUCCCAGAUUACAGUUGUACUUCUAGCUGUAAAAAGGUAAACACCUAUAACUCGAGGCUUACAUAAUGUUAUGCCUUAUAAGAAAAAUAUUGAGAAGGAAAUACAUUUGUUUGUAUUUCGGACAGAACUCUGUACUUCUCUUUCAUUGUUGCCAUUUGCUACUUUCCAUUUGUUGUGACUCAGUCAUUUAGAGAAGAGUUGAGGGGUUUUGUUCUUUUGCUUGGUCUUUUUAAAGGAGUAGUGAUUUUAAACCAAUAAAAACUGUGAAAAGUGAAGAUAUGCAGAACAAAUAUGAUGCAACUUUAAUUUUAUCAAGAUAAUCUGAUUUCAGGUUGAUAGUACUUCUUUAAGUUUUGACCUACCACGAUCAAGACAAUCUUGUGUUUCUACUUACAGAAAUAAUUGAUUGCUAUUUUGAUAAUAUGACAUGCAUAACUUAGAAAAUAAUUCAUUUCAUACACUAUUUUUUUUCACAAUUUUUUUUUUUUAUGCAAAGGAAUCUUAACCCCUUUGCUAUUUGAAGCAAAAUUCUGGAUAAUUUACAGUACCAUAAGUGCUCUGUGUUAACAUGUAUCAUUGCCUUUACAGAAUCCUCUGGGAAAGAAAAGUGACACUGUAAAAACUUUCAAAUAAUUUUAGAUUUCACUGGCUAGGAAGGGGAAACUGACCAAGACACUCGGUAAGCCUAAAUCAAGGUAUGUCAAAGUCAGUGGAGCAGUUGCACUGAUUUCACUGCUAUUUGAGAUGAACUAUCCUUGAUGUUCCUAGUCUGUGUUCUGGGAAAACAUUUAUACACACACACACUUGUAUGAGGUUCUUUUUUAAUAAUUGUUUCUAUUUGACUGCUUCACCUCACUGCCAAGCCAACAGUGGAUCCAGUGUCUCUUUCUUAUUACUGUGUUUCCUUUGUUACACUUGGCCAUUUAUUGUGCUGCACUGUGAAUGCUGGGAGUAUGAAAAGCCUUAACUGAAUUGUAGACAUGUAUAAUUAAUAUCUGCCAGCCUUUCUGGAAAUAUUAAAGCACAGGAUGUAUUAUACCUCUGGUCUUAGCCUUAUACAUUUAGAUUUUAAUUCAUCUAAGGACACCUUUCACUAUCUGGUGAAAAAGAGGAUACUCAACUCGAUCACAACAAGAUCUUUUUUUCCAUUAGCAGUACCUGUUUUAUACAUGGAAGGUUUAAUUGUUUCCAGAACAGCUUCAUUAACUUCUGAAAGUGUUACCAAUACAGGCCUCCCCAGAGCCAGGAUGCUAAUUAGAAAGAAAACUGGCCUUGCAGUAGUUUGAGGAGUGGUGUCUUUUUUUUUUUUUUUUGAAGAGAGCAGGAGGGCUCAUUCCAUCAUUGACAGAGUGUUUCAGAAUGUAGGAAUAGCUGCCUGUUGUAUGAGCUCAGAGAACACUUAUGAAAAAUUAAUUAUCCCCACAAUGGAACAACCUCUUCAGACAACCAACAGUAGUGAGCCUAAUAAUGAUUAUGUAAAUAAUGUUAAGAUGUCCAUUCAAGGUCCAUGCAGUUCAAGCAGUGUCCUUUACGACCAGCACUGUGUGUCAGCCCCAAGGCCCCUGACUCAGUGGAUUGGGUAUGUGCCUUAUGAAUGCUUGGAUUGCUUCCUCAGGUACCCACAUUGUCACUAGUAACACAUCUGACCCUUCUCACAUUUACACUGACUUCUUAUUAAAGGUGUUUUAAGUCUGACCAAAAAAAAAUCUAUACAGGACUAAAGAGUAAGUGUAAAUACAAAAUGUAAACAAAAUUAAAAUAAUGGAUUAAUAAGAAAAACAUAGAUCCUAUUAAAAGUAAAAGCAUGAUAUCAAGAAUUGUUGUAAUAGUUUGAAGUUUUAUAUUGAUGGUCAGGCCUUUAGAAUCUGUAUGAAAAAAGUACCUGUAUUGAAAAUAGGUACUAAAGGAAAAGAAAUUACCCCUGACCUUUUUAUAAGGAUCACCACCUAAUGUAUCAAAUAGGAAAGUUUUUGGCCAGUAAUAAAAUACAGUAAUUAUCAGUCAAACCCUAGAACUUCCAUAUUUUUCCCCAUGAAGGUUGUGUUUUAAAUAUUUUCUAGGAGGAUUUCUCUAGAAGGCAGAAGUGGAUUAUAGCUGCUACUUUCCAGUCAAAAGAGAGUAAAAUAAACCCCACAUCCUGACUAAUGGCUCAGGCUUAUUUGCUUUUUGGCCAGUGCAACAAUAAGAGUGCCCAGUAUGAAAGUUUUCUGGCAGUUUAACAAAGAUGGUAGCAGAAAGUCCACUUUCAUGUCCUUGUCAGACUAAAGCACAAUGAAAAUGUGUAUACAUUCUUCUGAAUAUGAGCAGGGAGCAUAGUCUGAACAGUUAACGUGAACUUAAGUGGCCACAAGUGGUUGUGUAUCCUAGAAAUGCGCUGUGAAUAAAGUAAAAUGUUCUUUUGCUGGGGAUGAGGUGUGACUGUGAGCUUCAUCCUGCUCUCUGUGCAGGACUGUCAGUGCUAAAGAAAGUUUCUGUGUUCUUGCUGACAUUUCAGAAGUUGCGAGUUAUGAUCUGGAUUUGCUACAUUGGCAAAAGAAUAGGACAGGUCACCCCAUCUCAGCAGUGAAACUGUCAGUAACAAGGAUAAUCCUCCUCAGUCUCAACAGCACUUACAGGGAAGUUGAUGCUAAGGUCAGGCAAGAAGGCAAGACCAACACUAGUGCCAAUGAACCUGUCAACAUUAAACACCUCUUUUUUCAGAGUAGUACUUCAAUACUUCAAUAGUCUGUGCUUCAGACUGUAUGUUGACAUGGCAGAGGGUUUUCCUUUCAUUUGGGUGAAGCUAAAGCUGACAGACAUAGUAGAGGCCAAGCAGACAAAGCCAGAAAAAGGACAGACCUUCAGAGUGUGAGGGUGACAUUGAAGGAAUCCAGCAAAAAAUGCUCAAGAAAUUUAAGAUAUUUUACACUCAUACUUGUCUUUCUGAGCUUGGAAGCCACACAGGUGCUAGCAUUGCUACUUCCUCUGAAAUUGCAGUCCCUAUCAGAUUGUGUACUGAGGAAAGGAAUAAGCUUUUACUUUCACCAUGGAUGGUGUCAGAAUUCACAGUUCCUGCAUCACCUAAAAGAAACUACCAGACCAAGCAAAUUUUCCAGUGAAAUCAGCACAUGUUUAAGUCUCUUAAGGAAAGAAUUUCAUCUACAGAGGAAAUAAUUUUAAACAACACUUUUCCAACCAACAUACAAGAGCUCAGUGCUGGAAUCAAAAAACUAUUCUGGCACUGUGCCCUUUACCCAUUUUGAAAAUAUUUCCAAGUGUGCUACUUUGUUGUUUGUAUGUCAACUUGACAUUACAACAGUUCCAGUGAGAGGUUAUAACUGGAGAGAUUUCUCCAAUACUAGACGUGAUGCCAGUGACUUUUUGAAACUUUUGCCCACCUUCUUCCACUCAGCAUAACCAGGUACAAAAAUAGAUGCAGCCAAGACAAGUGAUUAUUACCAGGAGGAACUGUAUUCCCUUGCCUUCUCCCAGAUCCAGGUGAAAAAGAUAUGUCACUCCUUGGGAGUGGGCUUUAUGCCAAGUACAAUGGUGGCUUUGUUAGAGCAAUCACUCAGCUUCAUUAUUACUUCAUUUUUAUCAAUUUGCUUAUUGAAAGGAAGGAUUAGUGCAAGCCCUCUUUAUUUUUCUUUUCUUUAUCCACUUUAUGGGAUAUUGACUACUGAGUGAUUGGCAGCUGGAACCUCAGAACUAGUGAUGGUUCAUAAAUCCUUUCCGAAUUCUGCUAGGGAACAAUGAUACCAGUCUGGGAGCAGUAGAGAGAGAAAAAUAAAUAAAUAAAAAGAUUUUACUAACUGAGCCUUUAAAAAUCUGUAUGUGCUUAGUAGAGAGUUGAUAAAAGGGAACAGCUGCAUCCUUAAAGAAUCUAUACCCAUAAAGUAAGCUCAGACUUCUGCUUUUUUCUUGACUAACACAGCAGCUAAAAUAGCUCACUCUCCUUAGAGUCAUUACCAGGCUUUACAUCUGUUGAUCCCUGACAGCAAAUGAUUUUUUAAAAAUAUUCUCUUCACCACUGCAAGAGAAAAACUGAGUUUUUUCUAAAUUGGUUAUCCCUCUCUCAUCAAGCCUGGGUAGGGAUGGAUACUGGAAUUAACAAUGAUGAGUUUAUUUCUUCAAUAGGAGAGAAAAAGAGAACAAAUGAGAUUUGAUGGGGUGUUGGGAUGCAAGAUAAAAAGCAAGAUUGGGUGAAGAACUCAGAUGUUGCUAAGAUAGAAGAGGAUACCCUAAGAGUGCCAUGAAGUCAGCACCUGAUCUUUCUGCACAAAUAAACUAAGACAAGAAGCCAGUACUCCAGCCAUAAGCAGGAACAGGUUGGUGGAGGAAUAAGGAGCAGUAACAGACACCUGGACUCUGGAAGAGGCUGAGAAUGUCUGAGUGAGAAGAUGGUCCUUGAAUGCAGAUCUCCAAAGCUGAAUGAAAAUAAGUAUUAAGAACACAUGAAGGGAAAAAAAAAAAAUAAAAAGGAGGGGGUGGAGAGAGGAAUAGGUAAAGAAGAAGAAAUUGCAGCAUGGUAAAAGAAAAGGUGGAAGUGAACAAUGGAGCCAGAGACCUAUGCAAAAAUAAAUGAAAAGAAUGAAGGAAAAACAUUAUUUGAUAUUUCAGAGAACUGGAGGAAGUAAUUGAGAUUAAAUCUGGGAGAAAAUCCCAGAGAAUAAACACAGAAGGCUGCAAAUCUCAUUGCAGCUCACAGCUUUCCCAGUGUGCUGAAUGACUAACUCAACAAUCUCAUCCAACUUGUGAAAUAUUCAAAAUACCAUUAGUUAAUUUUGUAACCUCCUCCCUGGAAAUGCAGUACACUUUUUGUACCUCUAGAAAUGUGUCUCACAAGUUAAGAAGUAAUUAAUUUGACAAGUUAUUGAGCCCAACUGUCCCAUCAGUAACCAACUUGAAUAGGAAGGCCAGUAAAUGUGUUGACAGUGGAACAUCAGUGAGUAAAAUAAUGAUCAUUCUGUAGAGGUUAAAUGGGAAUGGCAAAACAGCUAUGCUGGCUCUUGCCCACUCUGAGCUUGUGCAGUAAAUAAGUGUUGUCAGUCAGUCUCCAAAUGUUACAUGUAAGAGUAAAGUCAAGAUAAAAAAUCUGAGCCUAUCCCUGAUCUGAUCUCUUAUAAAAAGAAGACAUUUUAUGAAUAUUGUCUGAGUGUAAAUGAACUCAGGAUGUAAACAGGGGCUGAUAUAUUUUAUUUAUAAACACAGUAUAGGAAACAAUCCCUAAUUUCUUGGAGUUCUUGGCAUCUUGCAAGGACUCCUGUCCCUUUUAGUAUCCAGUAUGGAUUAUGUUCAAAGUAAAUUCCUCUGUUAAAUGUCAGCAAAUCCAAUAAAUGCAUUAGCAUCUUAUCUAAGCAGAUUGUUCCAAGUGAUUUUACAAUGGUUAGUACAACUUAUAUGCAGCAAAACUCUUUAGCAAUAUCUGUUUUCCUUAGUUUCCUGUUAAUUUUUCAAGGACUGACACUCUAGGCUUCAUCACAGACCAGGACUGCAUCAGGCAGGAUGAACCCCUGAUGAACAUUGACCACUGAGACUAAUAAUACCUAGUUAUGGCAAAAAGUUUCUCCUGUGUGUGCACUUUAAGGAGAACUUUAAGUUCUCCUUAAAGCAGACUAUGAGAAUAUUUGCAGCAGCUUUUGUCUCUCCCUGUGAACUGAUGAAAUACAAUUGAAAAUGCUGCUUUAGUCAUAUCACCAAUGUCUCAUCCUUUCUGCUUCCAGCUUUAACAGAAAGAUUGUUUAAAAAAAAAAACAAAACAAAAUACCCUAACCACAUCAAUGACCAAACCACCAAAACAAACUAACUCAGGGUAAGAACUUAGGCUCAGCUAUUGCCAGAUGGAAUUCCUUUUCUCAGAACUUUAUCCCAAAUAUUCAAAGUCUAACAUCUGCUUCCAGUAGGCAGCAGGAGAUUCUGGCAGAUUUGGUUAAUGCUAUGAGUCUGGGGCAGCAAGAGCUUCCUGCUCAUUUAUCAAGUACAAUUUGAGGUACAGCUAGGAUUUUUGUGUUAUGAGGGUUUCGCAGCCCCUUUUAGCAGAAUGCAGUGCAGAUGAAACAUUUGAGUUAGCAAAAGGAUAAUGCAGAGCUUGCAAUGCAAAAUUAGACCAGAUAAAAUUGUAGAGGGAGCGUUUUUAAGAGAAAGAUAAGCAAAUGUCACAUUGGGGUUAGAGUCCUCAGGAAGUUAGAAGUGAAAUUCUGUGGCUUCAAGGGUCUUUGGAAAAUGGCAGCUUAUUCCUUUGAGAAUGCAGUAACAAACCAGCUGGUAGGGAGGGGUGAUGCCAGAUGCUGCAACGUGUGCAUUGAGGUAGGAAGGGAGCAGAUGAAUAAAGGGAAUUUUCUCCAGUCUAAUAGGCAGCUAAAGGAAAAUUACUUCAGGAAUUAAAAGCAUACAAUGAAAAAAAUACAGUGGUCCAGCAUACUGGAAACUGGAGAUGAAUGUAGAGCUCUACUGUCUCCCAAAGACAGACACAAUUCUCUCUUAUUGAGAAUUUUAUUGUCCUUGCCCAUCUCCAAGACACAGGAGGAUCAUGGCUCUGGAAUCUCACAAAGUUACAUCUCACAAAGACAACCAUUCCCCCAGAAAGUGACAGAGGAGAAAGAUUUGUAGCACUGGUGAGAGGGUUUCUGAAAGGAGAUAAAAAAACAAAACUGCUUUGAAGAUGUUGUGCGCAACCAUGUAAAGUUUCAAGCUGGAACUGAUGUAAACCUCACACAGAGAAGGAAGGAUGACAGAGCUGCUGUGGGACUUGCAGCCAGCAGUGGACCACCCCAUGAAGACUGUUUUUCAGUUACACAUUAACUUCACAAUGUGCAGUUUUCAUCCUGUUGAUUUUGAUGCAUCCUUCUGUUUCUAGCAGCUGCCUAUGCACAGUAUGUAUUGUGGUAGAGGAGUAAUGAAUCAGAGAAUUGCUUUCUCAUGAGACUAAGCUAAGCAAGAUGCCUGUCUGGUGGUAGCCAGCUUCUUUACUAAUAAAAAAUUCAAACCAUUACAUCUCCUUCACUCUAGGGCUGGCUCUGACACUCAAGUCAGCCUCUUCCUUACAGAAAGCUGACAGUUGGACCAAUUUUAAAGCUUACAAAUCUCCUCAUCUUGUCUGCAUCUGUUCCAAAAGAGGCAGAACUGAGCUUAAAAAACCAAAACCAUGUAACCUAAACCCAAAGUUUUAAGAGGAACAUGUCCCCAGACAGGUACCUGAUAAAGCAGCAUUUUAAACCACUUUUCCCUGGCAUUCUUUUCACCUAUUACUCUUGACCUGUAAAUCAGCUCCCAGGAGCACAGUAAUGACUGAAGCAACAAUAUCAAGUCCUGACCCCUCUAUCUGACAAACACAACUGAAGGGACAGCUGAGAGCAUGCUUUGUUGAGGUAGAAGCAGCAACACUGAAAGCAUUCAUUGCCUUAGCAACUAGGACAACCUCUUCUUUAAUUAGCACAUCAUGGUCUGAACUUUGCUAAUAGAACCUGCCUACACUGCAUGCUAACCAUGGGUUAGGUAAUCUCGCGCUUGCCAACACAGGCAGCCUACCACGCUCCUGCUUCCUGACAUUCUCCACAUGAGCACUCUGUUCUCAGGUCCCACAUCUGCAGGCAGGCUGUGGGUGGUGUUAAUGAAUGAUACAUCCUUGUGGUUUCUCACCCUGGACUCAUGAUCUCCUAUCCCAUCACAUAUUUGUCAGGGCUGGCAGGCACAGGGUGCUGUGGAACAGCUUCUGUGUGCUGUGUUAGGAUUUGGGAGGUUACUGUCUAUGACAAAGGAAUUAUUUCCUGGCAUUAGCUUAGACAGGAAAUGCUGAUAUGGAAGAGAAAUAAGAGAGCUACCUCACUGCCCAAGCAGCCCCCCUUGGCCUAUCCUCCUCAGUUCCUCUCCCUGCCACCCUCUUCUGGAGCUUCUUCACCAGCGGCAUUACUGAUGACCACAUGAAAUCUCCAAGAUCCAAUGGCACCAGCUUUUAUGGAAUACACUCUUCCAGAAGAUAUGCCACAGAGGUCUGUGAUGCAGUUAUUGUCUGUUCCUUCCCCAAAAUUGCAGGUGAAAAAAACUCAUGAAAAAAACUGAUCAAGGUAAAAUAGAUAUCUGGAUGAAAACGAGAUUUGAGAGAAAAAAAAACCAAACAGGGUUGACACAGUCAUUGUCAUAGCUCUAACUACAGCUCAUUGAAAUUUGUAUCAGCAUAGGAAGAGUAGCGCUAAGUUUAGAGCAGAAAGUAAAACUAGUCUGAGUUAACAGUGCUCAAAUAUUCUGGGCUGAAUUCUGUACUGCCACUGGCGUUAGAGAUGUAAGGUCCAAAGCUGGCAUGGGUGUGACUGUAGGAAAUCCUACCAAAGCAAUGGAACAAACUGUGCUCUGAGACAACAGGUCUCACUAAGUGGGAAAAUGCAGCACUCAAUAGAGGAGAAAACUAAAUUUUGAUUGUUUUAAAUGCUUUAGUUAAUAACAGUAUGAACUAAAGAAGCAAACUCUUCUCUUUUUUUCUCCUGCUAUAUUGAAUUAACCCUGGGAAUUAGGGAAAGAACACAAGAUCACAUGCUGGGUUUGGAACGCCUGCUCAGCAAAACAGUGAAUGACACUGUGACUACUUUUGGGAUCACCUUCAGGGUACUUUCACCCACGGUUUCUGUGAAACUGCAUGACAAGAUCUUUCUUAAUUGCAAUAUUUACAUUGAAGAAGAGGUUUUCACAAUAAAGUGGGGAUGGUUUCUGUAGAUAUUUGUUUAAGGUUUUGGUGUGUUUUGUUUUGUUUGUUUUUAAUGUUGAACAAGAUGAGCAGAAAGGGAGCACUGCUUCCAUCAUACAAAAGUAGGGAUACCUACUUUUUGAUAUUCAAGAUAUUAGAUACUCCUUAUAAAUGUACACUUUUAGAAGCAAGAAAUUGCACCUCAAAAUCAGUAAAUUUUCAACGUGCACAUGCAUACCGUACAGUAUCAAUCACACAUAAAAUAUCAAGCUUGCAUUCUCAAAUGUGGCUAAUGUUUGGAAUGCUGACAACAAGAUGCUUUUCUUCUGUUCUUUAAAAUGUCAAACUUUUAACAGAUCAUUGCCCCAACAGAAUCAGAAAUUCAGAGAAGUGCCGUGAUCAAAGGCACACACCAUGCUUCUGAAGAGGAAUUAAGGAAAUGCAAGUUCAGCUGGUAUAAAGAACUAUCACCUCUUUGGUCUGGUUAUGUGCAUCUUUAAAUUAGCCAUUAGAUAAUUCUGCCACUUCACUGAACUUUCUGCAUUGAAGAUAUCUAUUCUUCCUUGUCCAGGAGGAAUAGUUUUAGUGGUAGUUAUGGAAAUAAAAGAGAUAAUAAAGCUCCCAUGCAAAUCUUA